CGCGAUUCGCCCUUCGGGGUGCCCAGGCGCGAAAACUCCACAAUGUACGGAAGUACGAUGGGGUUAUCUCGAGUGCAGUCCGAUAAGGGCUGCUUUUCCAUAGAGUAAUAUCCUGUGGGAAUAAGAGGGGGGCAAGACUGGUGUCAGCCGCCGCGGUAACACCAGCCCCUCGAGUGGUGGGGACUAUUAUUUGGUCUAAAGCGUCCGUAGCUGGCUGUAUCCGUCCCCCGUUAAAUCCAGCGUCCUAAGCGUUGGACUGCGGGUGAUACCAUACAGCUAGAGGGUGGGAUAGGUGAGCGGUAUUUCUGGGGUAGGGGCGAAAUCCUUUGAUCCCAGGAGGACCACCAGUGGCGAAGGCUGCUCACUAGAACACGCCUGACGGUCAGGGACGAAAGCUGGGGCAGCGAACCGGAUUAGAUACCCGGGUAGUCCCAGCUGUAAACGAUGCUAGCUAGGUGUUGGGUCGGCCACGCGCCGCCCCAGUGCCGCAGGGAAGCCGUUAAGCUAGCCACCUGGGGAGUACGGCCGCAAGGCUGAAACUUAAAGGAAUUGGCGGGGGAGCAC
This 564-nucleotide ribosomal RNA is filed under the name uncultured archaeon. RNAcentral describes it as "bacterial SSU rRNA". It matches the Rfam family "Archaeal small subunit ribosomal RNA", at positions 312 to 879 of the family's 1478-position model. The record is from RNAcentral.